Molecule: RNA transcript, 12123 nt
Organism: Phoenix dactylifera (date palm)
Lineage: Eukaryota; Viridiplantae; Streptophyta; Magnoliopsida; Arecales; Arecaceae
Source: RefSeq, a predicted model, not a curated record
GACGCGGAGAAGGCGAGUCCGGGAGGAUAAAGAUAUUUUCGGGAAAAAAAAACGGAUAUGGGAGCAGCUCCUUUCUAAUAAAAUUAUUCCUCCCCUCUUUCUCUUCGCGUUCGAAGCCCUAACCCUAACCCUAAUUUCGUUAAUCAUCCCCCAAAUCAACCCUUCCCAUGGCCAGCGACGAGCCAUCGUCUCCUCCUUCAGCCGGCAAGCAUUGGAGGUCGGUGGACGACCAGGAACCAGAGGAGUCGUCGAAGCGCCGGAAGCACCACCACCACCGCCACCGCCACCACCACCGCCGCCGCCACGACCAUCACAGCAAGCACGGCGGGGAGAGGGACGAGGCGGAGAACGCCGCUCCCGUGGCGGAGGCGGAUGCGACAUCCUCUGCCGUUCCGAAGCCUGGUGAUGACGACCGGGAGGAGGGAGAGAUUCUUGAAGACGAAGAGGGAGGUGGAGAAAUCAACGGCAAGAAAAGCGUCGGCAUGGAGUUAGAAGGGGCUUCCGAUGUUGAAUCAGGCGAGAUCAAGGCGGAAGGUGCCGAUGCUGAUUCCAAACGGGUAGCUUCCAGGGAGAAAGAUGCGCUGUCAACCAAUAGUCUGAAGGUGCUUAAUUUUAAUCAGAAUACAUUGACAGAUGAAAGCAUGUCGGACAAAUCUCAGAAUUUUGAGAAGUUUAGUGGCAAGGACGAAGCUCAAGUGAAGGGAUAUAAUGCAAAUGGAGGGACACGUGCUUGGGAGUCUGGUACUAUAUCAGCAAGUGAUGGGGAGAAUGAAGCCAGACAAAAACAACCAAAGUCACCUUUGAAAGGAAACGAGAAGGAAAAGAAGCACAAGGGUAUUGUUACACAUGGUACAAAAGGUCGGUUGAGAUCACGAUCUCCUGUGUCUAGAGAAAGUUCGCAUAAGCACAGGAAAAGGGAUGACUAUGAUAUUGAAGAUUCUGAUCAUAACUUGGAGAGGCCGCAUAGGGAACCACGAGAUGCUGACAGUAAAGUAUUACAUAAGAAGGAUAGAUCCAUAUCACCCAAAAAUUUCCGGGAGAGAUACAAAGACACCAGACGAUCUCCAUCUUACAGCAGGCGCACUGGUGAAACCAAUCAUAGGGAUCGAUCAAGGUCCUGUGACCGUAUGAGGGAGAGAUCUAAUGAAAGGAGUUCAGAUUCUUAUGCAGAUGGUGGUGCUCAAUCUGGACCAUUUGAGUUGCAAGGUACUGGUAGGAAUGAGUUGGACAGAUAUGCAGCCAGAAGUCGAACAAGUGAAAGAGGGGUACACAGGGAAAGAGAGAGGAGUAGUAGUUAUAACAGACUUGAUGGAUGGGAGGACAGGCAUGGCACUCGGGAAAGAGAAAGGGAGAGAGAAAGGUACAGUAACAGACUUAGAGACAGAGAUAGCAUGGAAGUGGAUAAGGUUGCUCGUAGAGAAAGGGAGAGAAGCAGUAGCUAUAGCAGACAUGAUAGGCGGGAGGACAAGCUUCGAAGUCAGGAUGGAGACAGGGAAAGAGAAACAUACAGUAGUAGUAAAGGCAGAGAUAGGGAGAAGCUAAGAGAUAUGAGUAGGGAGAGGUAUAGAGAGAGGGAGAGGCUAAGGGAUGUUGAUGGUGAUCGUCAAAGGGACAGAGAUGGCGAAGAUAGGGGUAGGAAUCGGGCUAGAGAUGGGGACACGCAUAUGCAUAUAGAUAGAGAACAAAGUAGACUGAUGGAAAGGGAUAGGGUUAGUAGUCAGGACAGGCAUAGGGAUUAUAGGCAUUCAAGAUAUGUUGAAGUGGAACAUCGCAACGAGAAAACAAGAUCUAAAGAGUCUAGCAAGGAAAGUUGUUACAAUAGAAACAACCGUGAAGAAGAAAAAGUGGAAUCUAUCAGGGAGGAAGAUGAAGAGGACUAUCAAGAAAGAAUUGAACAACAGCUUGCAAAACAGGAUGAGGAAGAUGUUGAUAAAAUCAAGGAGGAAAGCAGAAAAAGGAGGCAAGCUAUCCUGGAAAAAUACAAGCAGCAGCAACUGCAACAACAUGUGGAAUCUUCAUCUAAUGAUAAUGAGAAAGAGGAAAAGGCAUCUAUUGAUAAGGACAAGCUGCAGGAGCUAAACUCUAUUAAAGCUGAUAAACAGGCUCACUAUGAGGAGCCUGAGAAUAGGCAUGAUACUUCAGAUAUUUAUGUUGCUGAUCUGUCGUUUUCUGUGGGCAAGUCACCUACGCAAAAUGGACGGUCAGUUAAUGAGAGAACAACUGGUGCUCGGGAGCUUGGGGAGGGCACUCCCAAGAGUGAAAGAUCAACAGAUAUGUUUUCUGAUGACAUCUUUGGAGAAUCACCUGCUGGAGUUCGUAAAUCGGGCAAAGGAGACGACCUGCAAAUUGAUAAAAGUGGUCUCCAUGACAACUGGGACGAUGCAGAGGGUUACUAUAGUUAUAGGUUUGGAGAAGUGCUUGAUGGUCAUUAUGAAGUUAUUGCAGCUCAUGGCAAGGGUGUUUUUUCAAGUGUUGUUCGUGCGAAGGAUCUUAAAGCUGGGAAAGGUGAUCCUGAAGAAGUAGCCAUAAAAAUCAUACGCAACAAUGAUACCAUGUAUAAGGCAGGUCUAGAGGAAUUGGUCAUACUGAAGAAAUUGGCAGGCGCGGAUCCUGAGGACAAGCGCCACUGUGUUAGGUUUCUUUCAAGUUUCAAGUAUCGGAAUCAUCUUUGUUUAGUUUUUGAAUCUCUUCAUAUGAAUCUGCGUGAGGUUCUAAAGAAAUUUGGUCGUAAUAUUGGGCUUAAAUUGACUGCUGUGAGGGCAUAUGCUAAACAGCUUUUUAUUGCGCUGAAGCAUCUAAGAAACUGUGGCGUUCUGCACUGUGAUAUAAAGCCAGAUAACAUGCUGGUAAAUGAGGCUAAAAAUGUGCUAAAGCUCUGUGAUUUUGGCAAUGCUAUGUUUGCUGGUAAGAAUGAAAUAACACCAUACUUGGUCAGCCGCUUCUAUCGUGCCCCAGAAAUAAUUCUUGGAUUGCCGUAUGAUCAUCCGAUGGAUAUGUGGUCAGUUGGUUGCUGUUUAUAUGAACUUUAUACAGGGAAAGUCCUUUUUCCUGGUCCAUCAAACAAUGAUAUGCUUCGACUGCACAUGGAGUUGAAAGGUCCUUUCCCAAAGAAGAUGCUCCGGAAGGGUGCUUUUGCUGAGCAGCAUUUUGAUCAGGAUUUAAAUUUUCAUGCAACAGAGGAGGAUCCUGUUACAAAGAAGCCUGUUAAGAGACUGCUUCUUAAUAUUAAGCCAAAGGACAUUGGUGCUCUCAUGUCAAGCUAUCCUGGAGAGGAUCCCAAAAUGUUAUCCAAUUUUAAAGAUCUUUUAGAAAGAAUAUUUGUAUUGGAUCCAGAAAAGAGGAUGACAGUAUCUCAAGCGUUGAGUCAUCCAUUUAUCACGGGCAAGUGAACUAAGAUGCUGAUUUUUCUGACUGCAAAUAUGAUGUUGAGCAUGCCUCUUCCUUGUGAUCUAACUUUCUAUUUAGUCAUCUAAUUCUUCGGCAUUUAUCUGUCUUUUCCCCGCUGCAUCGGAGCUUUAAGUUUGGAAUGCGUGGAUGAAGCUGGAAGAGAUGAUGGUUGAAAAAAACCGACCUUCCUGCAUGGCAAUUCUUAUCAGUGGGAUGUGUUCUGUUUCUUGGUUUCUGCCAGGCUAUGAGGGUAGCAACAAUGUUUUAGAUGCUAAAAGGCAACCAAAAGAAGACUUUGCAUAGGAGACUGGUGGAUGCAUGUCUGGUGCUAUGAAAAUUUUAAAUGGUGCAAUUGCUAUUUUUUUGGAGAUUCGGUAAGUUUCCUAUUUUUCCUUCUUAUUAAUUUUCAGGAUGCUUUGGGCAAUUUCAGUCAGAAUUUGGAGCUAAAGUAAAUUAGCAAUAUUCUUAGUGGCAUCUUAUUGAUAUAAUUUGUUUUGAUAUAUGGUGUAUAUGAAACAUGAACGUGGCUCAUUUGGAAAAAUGUACUAUAUAGAACAGUCAUGAUCAAUUCAUUUGUACCAGAUAAGUUCGCUUACUUUGGUUGAGGAUUCUUUUCUCCUUUUCUUUUUUUGCAUGCUACAUAUUUUCUAGCAAUACGGUGUGGUUUUAUAUCUUCUUUAUUUAUUUUGGAUUUUACCAAGUCAGCUUGUAUUAGUCUUUCAAUUGAACUGGAUAUUUAGAUAGAUGGAUUCAGUUGAAUCAUCUCAACCUUUUCUUUUGCCAACUCAUUUUAUCGUGAUUUUGUUAUGAUAAUUUUUGGUAACUUAGCAAUAACAUUAUUAUUUUUUGAUGAAUAAGGUGGGAGUGCCACCAUCCUUAGUAAAAUUUGGACCUCUUUGAAGAGGAGAGGUUGCUAUCCAGCUGAGAUAAGUGCAAUGGAUUUUAAGUUUAUUAGAUUGCUUUGACUUCAUAUGCUGCAUAUAUGGUAACCUCUUUACGUUGUCUGAUUUUUCGUGCUUUUUAUUCCCCUUUUUUUUGGUUUUUUUGGGGGUUGGGGAGGGCACAGUUGAAGAUGGUAAAAGUUUUACUUUGCUUUGCGAUUUGAUACAAAGCUGUGGUUGUUAUAGUUCAAUUUGUUGCUAUGGCUGCUUCCAGUGACAGUUUGUAACAUGUUUUAACAAAACUUUAAGCAUGGGCCAAUGUUGAGGUGUUUAGGUCAAUUUCAGCCUAACUUGGUGCUUGUCCUCAACAAUGCAAAAAAUAUUUAAAAUUUACUAGUCGCUGAAAAAGCUCGGUCCUAAAAUGUGCGCAGAUCAUGUUUGUGUUUAGCAUUCUACAAUUGUGAUUUUUCAAGACAGAGGAUCCUUUUAAAUAUAGAAUGAUAAAAGAUGCUGAAAAUCUUGUGUAGGUUAUGCAAUAACUUGUCAGAAUAGCUUGAUAUUUAAUCAAUUAAUACAUGAAAAGACAUUCUUCUGGGUUUAUUUUACAUUGCUUUCGGUACUAAUUUAGCAAGAGCCUUUCAAUUCUCUCUUCUGUUUGCUUCUUUCAUCUGAACAUAUCACUUGAUUGGAAAUUUUGGUCGGACCAGACCUAGACCUGAAUUUUGUUAAGAAACCUCACUGGAUCAAUUGAACUGUUCAGCCUGAAUCAUCUGGUAAAGCAUUGGACCAUAAAAUAGUGAUGAGAGAAGUGACCUUGCUACAUAUCUUCCUUCCUAACGCUUUUCGUUCCUUUUAUCCUUCAUGCUCAAUGGAGCAGUUGAUGAAACAUAGAUGGGGACAAAAGUCUCCAUCUAAACAUAGCCUUGACAGCAUGGAAUUCAACUUAGAUGCUAACCUGGGGGUGAAGACCUAGCUGCCUAUUAUGAAUAACUUUGAUCUUCCUCCUACCAGAUCAUACUAUAAACUACUGCCUCUAUGAGAGCUUGUUGUAGCCUCUCUUCAUGCUCCAUCGACUCCUCGUGGCAAAAAGAGAAAACUCUAACCCCUAACUCAGAAAACCUUAGGAUUUUCAUUCCCUCUUCUUAAGAACAAGCCUCUCUGUCUCUGUGGAAGCUUGAAGCUCCUUUCUGUUGCAGAUCACAUUGGGGGGGAUUGGAUGACAAUUAUCAUUGAUUGUCGCUAAGAGAUCAUAGAUGUUGGCUUUUGGUGACCUAUCUCAUGGAGGAGUUUCAAUGAGGGGAAAAUAGAUGUUAUUGGGAGGGGCAUCUGGUAGAGGAACAGGGACAAUAGUGUUUGACUCUUAAUUGACUUGUGGUUGGACCUUGACAAGUAACCUGAGCAGCAAUAUUGUGUUAGGCUGGGUCAGCAGGUUCAAAAUACUACCUAAAAUAAUAUUUCGAGUUUUGCAUUAAUAAGAUGGGUUCAUUUUUGGUUGACUUACUUCAAGGAAUAUUUUGCUUUGAGCUAAAUAAUGGUCAUCCAAUUGUACAGGACUACUAUGAAAAUCAAUAAAUUUGAUGGAUAUUUUUUUCGUUCCCAAUAAGGUAGGAAUUUUUAAACAUUCUAGAACAUGCUGAAACAUUCUUUUAAGUUUUAUAAUGUGCCUUCAGCCUUGUGAGCAUUACCAUGAUUGGCUUCUUUUUAAGGCUUCUUGAGUCCAUGCUCUACCAUAAUUCACCUUUUACAGAAUGUUUUAUGAAAAUGCUAAGGUGGUUAUAAUCUUUAAUAUAUCGUAAAUAAGUACAACUCCUUUUGCUGGAUGCCUGUUUUGAGAUCCACGUGUACUUUGUGAAUGCAGAAAUGUUAUCAGGGAUUCAGGGUCGUAUUGACCUCAUGAAAGCAGCCAAAAUUGAUAUUGGUGUUGGAUAUCAUUUUUUAGGUGCUAAUAUUUUUGCAUAAAUAGGUUGAUUACUAAGGGUUUGAUCAAGAUAGUGGUAAUGUUGUGGCAUUAGGGCAUGACAGUCCAGCUGAAAUGUGAUAUUAUAGUGGAUUAGAGAUGUUGUUAGAGUGAUAGAUAGAUGAUAAGUGAUGUACUUAAGAUGCAGUGCAAGUUAGAUCAGUGUCAGUUAAAAAUGUUAAUUUCAUGGAUGAUUGGACUACUAUUAUGUUGUUGUAGUGAUGAUGGUGGUGGUUAUUAUUUACAGAAUGUGCACUCUAUGAAUAUUAUACGUCAAUACCUGAUUUUGCCUCUAAAGUGCAAUAUAGCAUGAUGCUAGAGAUGCUUACUAUUUUCACUCAAUUAGACAAUAUACAGAAUCAUGUAAAACCUUCUUUUGCUUUCUGCGGCAUUCCUUACUAGUACAAAUGAACUUAUGUAGAAAUAGUCUUUAAUUUCUUCACAUUUUCAUUCAAUGGAAAAGUUGGAAUACUACAGUGAUGCAAACUUAUUUCUGUAGUGAUGAGUAUUAGUAAUGUCUUUUGGAGUGAAGAAUAUGUGCAAAUUAGUUGUUUUAAAUCCUCAUGAGUUUGAUACAUUAGCUUUAUUAUCAAGAACCACUGUUUUGCAAAUUUCCAUUGAAAAGUUUUGUUGUGACAUCGUUGCAUCAUAUAUUUUCCGUUACCUCAUAAAUUCACAAUUUGAGAAAAAUGUCAAAUUGUGUCUCAAUGAAGCUGAAAUUGUCACUGCUAAUGUGCAAUUGAAUCAUCUUGCCUGCAAUAUAUGAUGUAAUCUGGGAGAAGAAAUUUUUUUAACCCGCUCAACUCGAAUCUUGUAAAAGAAAAUUUUGAAAAUAGGAACAUUGGCGAAAGUAGGAUUUAGGUCCCUUUUAUUUCCUUAAUGAAUCAUAAAAUCAAGUUGCAAAGUUUUUAUUUAUACUAGUGAGGUCCAUUAUUGUAUAUUUCUGGUCGGGUUUCUCUUCUAGUUCAAAGAGGCUACAACUUUUCCAAGAUAGACAUGACUAUUAGAAGUAAUCAACAUAAAGCUAAAAUCCUAUAGGAAGUAAAUCUCAACUUCUACAUCAGCUUUAUUUUUGCUGCUUCGCUUAAUUUUUUCUGAACUAGGAGACAUGCCUGGUCAAAGUCUUUCUUGAAAAGAAUUUUUUUGCCUCGAUUGGUUCGUUUCAAGUCCAAAUUAUAGAAUUUGGUCUUGAUUGCUCAGUGCACCACACCCUUAGGGGUGGCACCACGUCAUAGGCCUCGAAAAGUUAUCCAUUUUGAAAAAAAGGAGCACCAUAAUUGGAUAUUGUAUGCGUAGAGAUUAGAGUCUUCGGAAGUCUGGCACAUGAUUCGGCUUUUUGAUUUGGUGAAUCUCGUUUUUGGAUCCUAUCCAUUCUUCCCCAUAGUAGCUUGAGUUCACUUCGAGUCUGGUGGUCUUCUUGGAUCAGGGUUCUUCUUGUUUGAGGGAUUUAACUUUUACUAAAUUAGAAUUGAAGAUAAGGAAACACAUGCUUCCCUAUCUCGCGACCGAACUACUUGGCUUUUCUAGGAAGCUACCUUUCUGGUUGAUCUGAAAAGACCAAUUCCUGCUAUGUCUGAUUUCUAUAAUCUUUUGCUCAAUGAUACAAUCCUCAUCUAAUGACCUUUCUUGCUCUACCCAUAGAUAGUCUACAGCUGGUAGCACUGACUCUCUUGGACUUUUCAUCUAACAUGGAAGGCUCAAACAACUUCAAAUUCUCAUCAUUGAUUAUUGAGUACAUCUCCAUAGAUGCCAGCAAAUCAAGCUGGAAGGUAUUCUUCCCUCUCUUCUUCAAAUUUUUGAAUGGACCAUUUCAAAUUGCCUUCAUUUUCCUCCUUCGCCUUUCAACCUUUCUUUCCUCGAGGAGAGUCAGACUAGCUCUCCCUCUUGGAAGUUGCACUUCAUGGCAAUGCUUGUCAUGCCGUUCAGUACUAUUAUUGUGAUCUUUGCAGCUGUGCCUUCAGCUCUUGAUGUAUAUUUAUGAUAUUCUCCACAAAUCUUUGAGUUCAUGCCUGAGUAUCUCUUCUCCAUGUUGUUCUUUGGUGCACAACCAACUAUGAACUACAUGACGGAGGGGCUCUGUGGUAGAUAUAUCUAGUUGACCUCAAAUAGUGACUCUUGUGUAGAACCAUGGAUAGCUCAAUCCUAUGUGAAUCGGAGGCAUGACAAGCUAUCAUCCUAAGUCUUCAUAUGCUUGAAAUUAUAACCUGGAAGGGGGUGCAUCGUAGUACAAUCCACAACUCCUGUCUGUCCAUCAUCUAUGGGUUGAAGUUAGUGCUUUGCUUCAAUUUGAUAUGAUAUGCUCCGCUUCAAUUUGGUAUCUCUAUCAUAUCCCGUAAAAUUCUUCAAAUAUUACUUGGAUAAUGACUGUCUUGUUCUAAAAUUAUGGAAGAAGGCAGUAGGAAGUUUUUUCAUACAUGCUGAAAGAACGUAAGUUGCCUCUCCUCUCGUCCCUAUUUUCUUGUAGGGAAUUAGGCACACCAUCUUGAUGAAUCGAUCAACCAUCACAAACAAGUAGUCGUGGCUGCAUCUCAUCCUUGGCAAUUUUCCUGAGAAUUUCAUUGAGACAACUCUCCAAAGGUCUGCUAGGUACUGGUAAUGGUUUAUACGAUCCUAGUUUAUCGAAGGGCUUCGAUGUGCCAUAUAGUACACAACCCUUGAUGAAGUGGGCUACAUCUUGUUGCAUCUUGGGCCAAUGGACAUACCUUUUCAAGUUCAUUAGUCUUCUCUGCUCCAAAGUGUAUUGCAACCUUUGAAGUGUAAGCCUUUUGAAUCAAAUGUACCUUAUGGGCAGCUCGAGGGAUAUAUAAACAUGUUUCCCCUAUAUAGCAGUCCAUUCUUCAGGUGAACUCUGUUAGCAAGCCUUUCUUCAAUUUCCUCAGUUGUUUUGAAAAUUUGGACUUGUUGGCAUAGAGGUUCUUAUACUUCAUAUGACCUUGUGGCUAAAUCUACUUUGCAACCAAUAGAUUGGAGAACAUUGUAGAUGGAGGCUUGGACAAUAGAUUAGCUAACUUGUUUAUAGCGUUUUUCCUAUAUUUGAUCAUUGGGCUGAAUUGCUGUAGAUAAAUCAUCCACUUCAUUUGACGAGCCUAUUGCAACUUGGACUAUGUACGGAGAAACUGAAGUGGCUUGUGAUUUGGGUGCACAAUUAUCUCUUUUGUUUUGCAAGUAUAAUCGUUGAUGCUUCACAGCUUGAUGUAGAUGACACGACUCUUUGUCAUAUGUUGGAUAAUAUGACAAUGACCCCUAGAGCAUUUGAGUGAUAUGGUACUUGAUUCCUAUCAUGUAGGAGGAUUUGCUCCCAUAUUGGCCACAACAUUGAAGGGUCUUUGCAAAUUGGGCAAUACUAGGAGUCUAGGACUGUUGUUUUGCAGAACUUCGGUAGAAGCUGAAAACUAUUUUUAUGUUUUUUUCAACCAUUAAAAUUUCUAUUUUGCUCAAGGUUUGCCGUCUCUGUACUGAAUCUUGCAUCGAUAACGUCUUGGCAUAGUGUUGGCACGCCCAGUAGAGUGGUUUGGCAUACUGAUACUCGAUACACUCCUCAUACCGUGUAUAGGUUUGAUAUCGCUAUGGUGGUUGGUACGUCCUCAGGAUGUUGCUGUCACUUUGCUAUUCCUUUGCUCGCCUACUUAGAAUGAUAUAGCAAUUUUGGCUGAUCGAAGGUUGUGGCUCACCAAAUGUACAAACUCAGUGGCAGCUGCAUGGAUAGGAAGGUGGCCAAGUUGUUGUUGGGCUUGAGCAAGUACGAGAGUUCCCAACAGUGAUGCGAUUCCUUGCUCCUGGAACACCACCACUGGUAGGAGGAAUUUUUCUUGAUUGCCAGGUAUGCGAAGGAUGGGUUGAAGCAAAUCAUGGGUAGGUCAUCAAGCUCCCUUAAUGUUGCUGGGCUGGUACUGAGAAAUAGGGGUUCUUUGGGGUCUGAUAUGAGCGAACUUGUGCCACUCCAUGAGUUUUUGAGGUCUGGCAAUAUGAUUGGCCUGCACUUGAGAUUUGCACACAUGAGGCUGAUUACUUUUCAGGUUGAUGCUUGGGCUCUCGCUGGAUUCCGUGGUAAAAUUUCUUUUCCUCGCACUCUAUCCCCCUCUGUUUCCUUUCUAUCUUUCUUCGCCAAAAUCUCUUCUUGGAGGAGGGUGCCGUCUCUAGUUUGGUCUAAUCUUUGGAAACCCUAUGUGAAAGAAUUAUUGGUAAAGAUAUUUAUGUGACAACAACGUGAUUUGGAGUCCAUUUGGCACCUUCUCUUUCGUGUCUAAAAGAGCUAGGUAAAGCUGUAAGGAUACAGGGCCAUUUUAGGGACAUUAUGACAUAACCGCACAAGCUCAAGUUUUGAGCCGAGCUGAGCCGAGAGUGUUCAGGCUUGGCUCUUUUCCUAGGUGAGCACAAGUUCAAACGAGUUCUUAGCGAGCCGCUCCCCAAGCUGCUUAUGUGCAGCUAGGUUUGUUCACACCCCUAGGUAUAGGACAGACUGAGUAAAACUCUGGAAUGGAAAUUAAAUAUGUCGAAUGAAGAGGGACGACAUAGAGAUGCAUUAUAGAUUACCAUUUAUAGCAGAAGAGAUUCUCAUCACAAGAAAUUAAACAAUAGGAGAGAAGGGGAAGGGUAUUUAGGGAACAAAAGUUGAUAGAUGAAAUCUUUUAGGUUAUAUUUAAAAAUUCAAAGCUCCUAUGUCUUCUUUAUAUGCGUUCACUAAUGGCUAGCAUCUUAGAAAUUUGAGAUGUCGUGUCGAAAGACAUAUUGGUUGUAUUUUAAUAAUAAUUAAGUCUUUCAUUAAUAUGCUGUUUUAUAAGUUAUGUGGGCUGUGGUUGCUGCCUUUAUUUUUCACUUAACAGAGGGUCAGUAAAGUGAGAGCAAUUCAUGCUGAAGGCUUAUGUUAUGAACCGCUUGGGGAUUUUCCCAUUGUUCUAGGUAUGGGUAAAUUUGUUCAUGGUGUGCAUGUGGACCCACCUUAGGUGGGCACGAACAUAGGUGUUUCAAGUCCUACAUAAGCUGUUGAAACAUAGUAGAGAAGCUGAUACAUCCAAGAGUUUGGGACGGUGGUGAGGGACAUCUAUUCUUUGUUGGGUCUUAUCUGCAUGCCAGACAACCCCAAACACUAAAGAUUUGGUUGCAAAUUUUGCAAAUUAGAUUUUCUUUCUUCCUUUGCUUGCAGCGAGAGAGUCUUAAGAGUACUCGAGCUUUUGAUUUGUGAAGCCCCUCUUCUCUUGCAAGAAGGGACUGGCUGCUUGUAGUAGGUAGAUUUGUAUGGUUUUAUUUUAUUAAAUGUCUGAAUUUCAGCUCCAUAGUCCAGCAGUUGAUUGUUCUUUGGUGCGAUUAAUGGUUUGCCUGGAGAUUUGUGCUCAGCAGAUGAUGCAAGUACAUUUUUGGCAAUCAUGAUGCCUCAUCUUCAAUAGUCUAUAUUUAUUUUUGGAUUUGCUGAGAACAUGCUUAAUAAUUCAUUUUCUAAGAUGUCUCUGGUUUUACACAUAUUUUGUACAUGAUGCAGUUAGAUAUGCUUUUAAUAACUUUAGGGCAAAACAAUGUGUUGGUGUACUCAAAGGGCACCCAGGCUGGGAGAGCUCUGACAGUUCCUGAAUGGUAAAAUUUCUUUCAAGGUUAUGAAGAAAUAGUGUUUUUGUGUCAUCCACCUCCAUGGAAUGCACGCAUGUCGUCGAGCAUGAACAAACAUAAAUCCUCUGUAUUAGAGCCAUGCUCAUUUCAACUUUAGCGCCAGGACACGGUAAAAUUAAGCUGGUUUUAUUCUUUCCCCAGUGUUGGUGGGUUUCCUCCUGUUUUGCUAGAAUGGAAUAUUUGCUUUCUUCAGGCCUAGUAUUGUUACAUUUAUUUGCGUUCUUUUAUUAACUAGGGAUUGUUUUAACUGCAGUCUCACCGCAGGUGUAUUAUGAAAUAAUGUUGUGUUUUUUUUUU